CCUGAAAAAAGAGAAACCUAUAUUUUUAUGUGCAAUCAAAGUAGUAACAGCUUUAACCCCUUAAGGACCAAACUUCUGGAAUAAAAGGGAAUCAUGACAUGUCACACAUGUCAUGUGUCCUUAAGGGGUUUAAACAACAACAACAAAAAACUAUUUCUUCUAAAAGAUCUUGUGAUUUACUACUUUGACUCGGGGGUGGGGUUGAACAUAAGGACAGCUACACUGUAAUUGAUACUAAGACACAAUGCCUCCAAACACACUAAAAAAUGAGAUAUAUCAGUGUUAAUGGUUGUGUGUCUGCAUCAUUGUUGGGAACCCACCUAGUAGCCAACAGGAAUUCUAAAAUAAAUACCACUAUGGAAUCUUUCAUGAACCUAAAUUGUUUUUCUGCACUAUUUUUGCCUAAAUGUAUAUUGACUUCCUUGAUGUUCAGCCAGUAUUACAGCUGCCAGGGCAUGACUGGAGUUGACGGCUACAAUAGUGCUCUAUGAAUACACAUUUUUCAUUUAAUACUGUGUGUGCAGAUGUAAUUUAGGUGCUCAGGCUAAAUUAAUUAUGGCUAUAUGAGGGUUAUUAUAGUCGGUUUUCCCUUUUUAGAACACCUGCAUUUAACAGAAAUUUAAUUUUCCAUUGUAUAAAUUACUCCCAAUAUUGUUUUCCUGUAGUUGCUGAAGCUCUGCAUAUACUUCUUGCCAGCAUUCUAGAUUAUACAUAGUAGCAAGUGUUUAUAGGUGGUAACUAGGGCAACAAAUAUAGCUUGCAAGGCUUUUCGUUUCAUUGUUUGCUAAAGCCCUGCGAAUACCGAAUAACCUUCAGUGCUUCUAUGUAGCAACUAGGUUACUCAACGGUUCAUGCAAGAAUAACUUCUAAGGCUUUUAGAGCUAGUUUCUCUGUACUUUAUAAAGACGUGAAUAUUUCUUGUUGGCGUACUAGAUACUGCAUAGCAACCAGUGUUUUAUGCAGUAACUAGGAAGCACAAUAUCUCGUAAUAACUCACAAAGAUUUUGUAAAUACAAUGAAAACUAGAUCACAGUUGAAGUAAAAUGGUGCAAACAAAUUCUCUUAUAAACAAGAACAGGGAAAAACGUUUCAAGUAAAAUAUAAUAAGGGGAAAUUCUUGUAUACAAAUAUGGAGUCUUAAUGCUGGCAGUGAAUCAAAGCCAUAGAACUCCUACUCCCAUUAUGCCUAACAAAUAUUUAUUUUGUAUAUCAUAUGUGAGCUGACAAAAUCAUUGCUCACCCCUAGCCAGCUUGCAGCAGCUGCUGCUGUUGGAGGCUUGAGAGACUCACUGCAGUCACUGCAAAUAAUACCCUAACUUUUAAUAGAGAGAAGCUAGCCGAAGAUCACUGCUGCACGCGGUAAGAUGUUGCAAGCAAAUGGAGUUUACUGGCUUACGCCAUGCUUCAUUAUGGGCAAAUUGGCCCUCUAAAAUAAAUAAAAUUCAAAUUAUUGUAUUUGAAUCGUAACCUAUACAUGCAAGUCACUGCAUGCUAUACAUUUUCUGAAAGGAUCUAAUUCAGAUGGUUCCUAGGGAUGCAUAUUUCUCAGUCGACUCAUUUUCAAACGAUCCGAUUAAUAUGCUAAGAGAUUAGUUCCCUUCAAGUUCUUUAAAUGGGGCACAUUUUAAGUUCUUUCCUGUUUUCGAAAAUUGUUAGUGAACAUAAUGGAAUAUAUAUAAAGGUACAGGGUAUAUUAGCUGUGGUGUGUAACAAGUAAAAUUGUACAAUGUUUGAGUCUGGUGCAAUCGCUAUUUGCACCAGUUCAAUGUACCUGUUGAUAGCUCCACUCUUUAGAAGCUUGUUAUUAAAUGGGUUAUGAUCCAUUAUUACUGCCUAGAGAGAACAAAUGGCAAACGCCAAGAUACAGAGAAAUGAAACAUUCAAAAUAAUGGGAUUUUAUUCACACUGGAACAAAUCUUAAAACCAAGAAACUUAUAACUUUUUAUAAUAAAAAAAACUCUUUAAAAGGUUUCAUAUAUUUGAAUACUUCAGCCCAAUGUAAUUCUGUAAUUGUAAAAAUGGCAGUGCAACAUAUAGAUUUAUUAGAAACAUUAUUUUUUUAUCUGCUUCUUUUGACUUUAUCAUAUUGAUUUCCUAGACUAUAAUUUACACAGCACAAAAGAAUAAAUCCACUGAAAUUUAGAAUUUUCCUAAAAUAGAUAUUUUUUUUCUUCUGAUUUCCCUGUAAUAUGUUAUCUUAAGCAAUUCUCAAAAAAAAAAAAAUUCCAUAUAUGAUGCCACUGGUUCUCAAACCUGAGUGCUAUGUACUUGAAAAAUUGUGUGUGAUAUAUGGGACCUACUUCUCAAUGUCUGGCACCGAAUUCAUCAAAUGGACUGCAAACAUUAACAUUCCAUAAUCUGUGUUUUACGUGAGUGACAACCUAUUGAUGAUUUGUCGAUUUGUCAAGUAUUUUUUCCCUUUCAGAUUCUGCUGUAGAACUGCAUUCUAAAACCUUGAUCUUUUAGCCCUAUAAGGCUGAGCAACACGUUGGUCUACAGUUCAAAGAUGGCCCCUCUGUUAGAGAGCUCUUAAUUCUGUAAUUUCCAGUCGGAGCCGCAGUAUUAAUGUCUUUUGUAACUAGUUCGGACACUGCUAGUCCUUUUCUCCCUUAUCAUUUUCCACGCUUGUUAUUGUAAGAUAUGUUUUCUACAGUGGAGAUAAUGUUUUUUGUUUUGCCCUAUUAUUUUUUUUACAGGAAUCUGCAAUAUAUUUCUAUAUCGAAAUCAGGGAGAAUCCUUUUCAGGGAAGAGCUUGCAAUGUUUUGCUGAAACUAUGUAGUGUCUGAGAGGUUUAAGAUAUAGUAUUGUUAAAACGGAGGAAUAGAAAGGAAGCUGUUAAAAUAAACUGUACCAUAGAAUCAAUCCGUUACUUAAGAAAUAUAUUGACUACAGAGUAUUUGUAGCACAUUUUAACAUGAUCCUUCAUUUUAUUUUAAUAAAUAGGUUUAUUUUUUCCAUUUUUUAAUAAACUCUUGAAUAUAUGAAAUGAAGGUGCCCUCCAUUUUUCCCCCAGAUUUUUGUCUCUUGAUGACUAUUUUUCAUAUUAGAAGGAAAGAGAUGUUCAGUGAGAAAUAUAUAUAUUUUUAGACUUUCAUGUACCGUUUCCUUGAACAAGAUUUCUAUUUGAUAAGCUUUAGGAUAUGGCUGUGUUUGUCUGUUCAGUGAGUGCCUGUGUCUUAGGGAUAGCUCAUAUAAGACAAAUGCAAAUCUAUCUUCGUUCUUCUUUAACUUCUGUAAUGUCAGAGGACUUUUGCAUCGGAGGCCUCUUUGUCUUUAAGGGGGGAUAAUAUUGGUAAAAAGAAUAUAGAUUAUGGUAAAUUUGAAUGUGACUAUGUGAUUAUGCUAUAAAAUUGUCUAUAUCCCAUUUUUUUGUAGGCUGUAGUUGAAAAUGCCUUGUUAUAUUUACAGAAAUGCAGUAUUUCUUGAAUAUGAAUCUGAAAGCGUUAAAUGAAAUCUUGCAUCUUGUCCUUGAAGUAUUUUGAGUAUUUCUAUGGAAGUCCCAUUCCAAUCAUUUGCAGUCAUGUGAAACUCUGUUUUUGUAAUAAAGGUGGUCACUGGGGGAAAGCAGCAUUUAAUAAAAUCUCUAUGUUUGUAUAUAUUGCCACUGUGUUCCAGUCUUGUGUGUUCCCCUGCCACCAAUUAUAUUCAAGUCCUAUUUGUUCUGUGCCAUCCAAUCGAAAAGCACUGCUUAUUCCUGUUAGUUUCUGGUUUGGUUAUUGCAAUGUUUCUCAUAAAUCCGUUAAAUAGGUCAUACAGAUUUGUUUUUUUAUCAAACCAAUAUAUGACAGGUUUAAAUGUAAAUAUCAAUUUUAGAUCUGAAUGUUAAAUUGCAUCUAUAUCUAGUCUUCAGUUACCCAUACAUCUUUGUGGUGGUAGCUAAGUGAUGUCAUCAGCCAAUUAGAAUAAAAGUUGCAAACGUAAGUGAUUCUCUCCCCACCUCCCCACCCCCGUUUGAUUCAAUAGCCUUUAUUUGCACGUAUAGGUCGCAGAGUUGGACAGGUGGAGGAUGUUGCAGUUGCCAGGUGUAACCUCAUUUAUUCCUGCAACAUCCAUACAUAUGACC
Non-coding RNA from Pelobates cultripes (western spadefoot toad), 4063 nucleotides. The record is from the annotation of a GenBank genome assembly. NCBI's taxonomy places the organism in Eukaryota, Metazoa, Chordata, Amphibia, Anura, Pelobatidae.